Molecule: transfer RNA, 72 nt
Filed under: Bos taurus (domestic cattle)
Lineage: Eukaryota; Metazoa; Chordata; Mammalia; Artiodactyla; Bovidae
Also listed under: 1 other name
Rfam family: tRNA
About the family: Transfer RNA (tRNA) molecules are approximately 80 nucleotides in length. Their secondary structure includes four short double-helical elements and three loops (D, anti-codon, and T loops).
Source: Rfam by way of RNAcentral
UCCCUAGUGGUCCAGUGGCUAAGACUCUGUGCUCCCAAUGCAGGGACCAGGGUUCGAUCCCUGGUCAGGGAA